This 465-nucleotide ribosomal RNA is filed under the name Vreelandella stevensii. RNAcentral describes it as "partial 16S ribosomal RNA". It matches the Rfam family "Bacterial small subunit ribosomal RNA", at positions 338 to 795 of the family's 1533-position model. The record is from RNAcentral. Lineage: Bacteria; Pseudomonadati; Pseudomonadota; Gammaproteobacteria; Oceanospirillales; Halomonadaceae.
CCUACGGGGGGCAGCAGUGGGGAAUAUUGGACAAUGGGGGGAACCCUGAUCCAGCCAUGCCGCGUGUGUGAAGAAGGCCCUCGGGUUGUAAAGCACUUUCAGUGAGGAAGAACGCCUGGUGGUUAAUACCCAUCAGGAAAGACAUCACUCACAGAAGAAGCACCGGCUAACUCCGUGCCAGCAGCCGCGGUAAUACGGAGGGUGCGAGCGUUAAUCGGAAUUACUGGGCGUAAAGCGCGCUGAGGUGGCUUGAUAAGCCGGUUGUGAAAGCCCCGGGCUCAACCUGGGAACGGCAUCCGGAACUGUCAAGCUAGAGUGCAGGAGAGGAAGGUAGAAUUCCCGGUGUAGCGGUGAAAUGCGUAGAGAUCGGGAGGAAUACCAGUGGCGAAGGCGGCCUUCUGGACUGACACUGACACUGAGGUGCGAAAGCGUGGGUAGCAAACAGGAUUAGAUACCCGUGUAGUC